UUGGCAUGGGUUAUCUAUAUGUACAAAAGGGAAUUUGAAUUAUUUCUACCCAGCCAAAGAACAAUUAGUAUUUCAUAAUAAUGAUAAGGGCCAUCUUUGUUGCAUUCUUGCUUUUGUCUUAUAUUCUUACAUUCUUUCUCACACCAACCGUAGCUAAUUGUUCUGGUACUUCUGGAUUCGUCGGAACACGUAAUCCAUUUUGCACUAAAACGCGUGUGUGUGCUUGUCCUCGUCAUUCUCCUGAGACGCAUCCAGGCCACGGCUAAGAACUUAAGAAUUGACAUGGACGGAAAGAACCUCGCCGGGUACGAACCGGAUAUGAACGAAUAAAUUGGAUCGAUCUCCGCAACACUAUUGUUCACAGCAGUCAUAUCAUACAUCAAAAUUAUUCAAAGUGUAGUUCGUAUUAUCUGUGAAAUAAGACGUAGUGACUUCUUGUUGACGAUUGAUUAGUUGUAAUGGAUUCUGGAUACGAAGUGUAAUAUUAUUGGCAGAGAAUGCAAAAGUGCCAUUAAAAUUUAUUA
Arachis ipaensis is the source of this 524-nucleotide long non-coding RNA. RefSeq lists it as uncharacterized. NCBI's taxonomy places the organism in Eukaryota, Viridiplantae, Streptophyta, Magnoliopsida, Fabales, Fabaceae. The record is from RefSeq and is a predicted model, not a curated record.